AGCCUUCAUAAUAGCUCAGUCGGCAGAGCGCGAGACACUUAAUCUCAGGGUUGUGGGUUUGAGCCCCAGACAUAGCUG
Non-coding RNA from Podarcis lilfordi (Lilford's wall lizard), 78 nucleotides. The record is from the annotation of a GenBank genome assembly. Lineage: Eukaryota; Metazoa; Chordata; Lepidosauria; Squamata; Lacertidae.